Molecule: long non-coding RNA, 2405 nt
Organism: Bubalus bubalis (water buffalo)
Lineage: Eukaryota; Metazoa; Chordata; Mammalia; Artiodactyla; Bovidae
Exons: 3
Source: RefSeq, a predicted model, not a curated record
AUGUGGACCUGAGGUUGGUACCUGCAGUUGGGGGCGAAGCAGUCUCGUGGGACGGAGACCUUCCUCUGUGGAUCCAGUGCCGCCUCCUGGGAGACAGUGUCUGAACUGAGGCUGUCAUAGGAGAUCGAAAAUCCAACCACAGGGACAACGUGGCCUUCAAAAAUCAUCACUGAUGCGAUGGAUGUGAGUUUGAACAAACUCUGGGAGUUGGUGAUGGACAGAGAAGCCUGGUGUGCUGCAGUCCAUGGGGGUGCAAAGAGUCAGACACAACUGAGCCACUGAACUGAACUGAAGCCUUUGAAAUCUCGUAUGGAUUUUGCACCCAUAGGACAUCUUGGUUUGGACCAGCCACAUUUCAAGUGCACAAUAACCACACGUGGCUCAUAGAUCCUGGGCCACACAGUUCUAGAUGAUUAUAAGAAGGACACUCAUUUGGAAAUGGCAUAAAGCAAAAAUCUGUGCUUUUCUUUCAAAUGUCAACAUUGAAGUCAUAAUCUCCCCUAAAUGUCUUAGGGUUAUCCUUUCUUAUUUUGUGGCAUUACUAAAUGAUCUUUCUUUAUAGACCUUUUUAGGAACUUUCUCUGUCCUUUUGAUUUGAUUCCCUUCUGGUUUAUGCAGUGAAGACUGUCACGAUGAAUUUUUCUUGAGGACAUUGAUAAUUAUUUACAGCUAUGGGGCUCUUAGCCAGUACUUGCUGUGGAGGUCUGGGGGAACACUGGGAAGACAGGGCUUCAUCUGACCUGGCUUCUCAAAGGUUGGUACCACCAAAGAAGAUUCUACCUAUAGUUAUUGCACUGAAAAGAAAGAUUACAUGUUAGUAAAAAUAUAUAUAUUUGAACUAUGUUAUAAUUACUGCAACUCUUUUUUUUGAUAUUUUUCCCUUUGAAAAAUAUCUAGGAACUUUAAAAAUGGCCUUUCUUUAUAGGUGAGUGGAAUAACAGAUCCUUUUACCUGACUAACCUCUUACUUCCAAUCUCUUUCUCUCUCUCUCUUUUUUUCUCUGACUCUAUUAGGCUGUUAAGACAACAAGAACAAACAUUAGUUUUCUUGUCUCCCUUGAAGUCAGUAGGUGGCCAUGUGAUAGUGUUGACCAGUGAGAUAUUAGCUCAAAUCUGCUAAUGUCUCUUCUUCCUUAUCCCUUUCUGGAACUCAAACACGAUAGCUGGCAAUGUGGCAGCCCUUUGGCACCAGGAGGCAGAUGGCAUGAGGAUGAAGGCCAGUACCCUGCAGAUGGUAGAGAAAAAGAUAGAUUUGGUAUCUGAUGGCAAUUUUGAGCUUCUUUGCCAGCCCUGUAACUACUUUCAGACUUCUUGUUACAUGCGACAAACAACUUUAUGUUUAAACCACUGUUAAUUGGCUUUUCUUAUAUGGACAGAAAAAUGAAUUUCUGUCUAAUGUAGAGGCCCUGACAGAACCACCGCUGAAACAAAGUAUGCCUUUGCUUUCUUGCCCGUCCCUACAAAUGGCUAAUUAAGCAGCCACCCAGAAACACAAUUAAAACAAAUACACGAAACACUACAAGUCUGAAGUUAGCAAUUCUCCAGAGACCCAAUUAGAUAUUUCUUUGAAAAGGUAAAGACUAAUCAAAUCAUUUACCUUUGUAUUCCAGCCCAGAAACCACUUAUUUGAAAUGACAAUAAUUUCUUACUCAGAUCAUCACUCUGUUCAUUUAAAGGGGAGAAAAAAAAUCAUUUAGGAUUACUCACCCUUGGGUCUCCAGAUCUUGCUUGAACCUGGCAUAUAGAAAGCAAUCAGCAAAUGUUUAUCACAUCAGUAAGUUGACAGAGUCAUGCAAAUAAAAAGAACUUCUUAUUCAGGAUUUGUUCAUUUUUAUCCCUUUUGAGGAAAACUUCUUCAAGCUUUUAGUAGCUGCCCCAGCCCACAGACUGUAUUGGCUCAGGAUGUCACUACCCCAAAGAUGCCUUCUGGAAGUUGUCUGAGACCUUCCCACGGGGCAGGGAGGUAGACAGACAAAAGCAACAAGCAACCUAAAUUAGGGGGUUGUUUUCUUCUGAAGAUUUUCCCCUCCCAGGGUGACUGCCCAGCACUUCUAAUAACUGUAAAUAAGAAGCUGUUACUUUCCAUGUCAUCUUCACUUUCUGAAACAAAUAACCCCAAAUGAGUACCUCUUAGAACCAUUGUUGUUCAGUCGCUCAGUCAGGUCUGACUCUUUGUGACCCCAUGGACUGCAGCAUGCCAGGCUUCCCUGUCCUUCACCAUCUCCUGGAGUUUGCUCAAACUCAUGUUCAUGGAGUCGAUGAUGAUGCCUUCCAACCAUUUAGAACCAUGUGGACCUUUUCUCCCUUCUCCAUGAGGGUGACCCUGAAGACACCUACUGUUGGAGGAUGGAAGCCUCAGGGAUUUGGAUCCCAAACAGGAGGAUCAAAAUCCAGUCUUAACACUUU